Molecule: ribosomal RNA, 497 nt
Filed under: uncultured bacterium
Lineage: Bacteria
Description: partial 16S ribosomal RNA
Rfam family: Bacterial small subunit ribosomal RNA
Source: RNAcentral
GAUGAACGCUGGCGGCGUGCCUAAUACAUGCAAGUCGAGCGAACAGAUAAGGAGCUUGCUCCUUUGACGUUAGCGGCGGACGGGUGAGUAACACGUGGGUAACCUACCUAUAAGACUGGAAUAACUCCAGGAAACCGGGGCUAAUGCCGGAUAACAUUUAGAACCGCAUGGUUCUAAAGUGAAAGAUGGUUUUGCUAUCACUUAUAGAUGGACCCGCGCCGUAUUAGCUAGUUGGUAAGGUAACGGCUUACCAAGGCAACGAUACGUAGCCGACCUGAGAGGGUGAUCGGCCACACUGGAACUGAGACACGGUCCAGACUCCUACGGGAGGCAGCAGUAGGGAAUCUUCCGCAAUGGGCGAAAGCCUGACGGAGCAACGCCGCGUGAGUGAUGAAGGUCUUCGGAUCGUAAAACUCUGUUAUUAGGGAAGAACAAAUGUGUAAGUAACUGUGCACGUCUUGACGGUACCUAAUCAGAAAGCCACGGCUAACUACGUG